GUGCUCACUUCAGCAGCACAUAUACUAAAAUUGGCACAAUACAGAAAAGAUUAGCAUGGCCCUUGCACAAGGAUGACACUCAACUUUGUGAAGCAGUCCAUAUUUUU
This 107-nucleotide small nuclear RNA is filed under the name Dasypus novemcinctus (nine-banded armadillo). The record is from RNAcentral. Lineage: Eukaryota; Metazoa; Chordata; Mammalia; Cingulata; Dasypodidae.